This 37-nucleotide small RNA is filed under the name Propionibacterium australiense. RNAcentral describes it as "CRISPR_Spacer". The record is from RNAcentral. Lineage: Bacteria; Bacillati; Actinomycetota; Actinomycetes; Propionibacteriales; Propionibacteriaceae.
ACGGCACGGACGCUCACAUGUCACCGAGGAGCGCCUC